Pelobates cultripes (western spadefoot toad) is the source of this 499-nucleotide non-coding RNA. The record is from the annotation of a GenBank genome assembly. Lineage: Eukaryota; Metazoa; Chordata; Amphibia; Anura; Pelobatidae.
AAACAAUCACUUUAUAAUGUGUCCCCUGCUGUAUAGUCCAAAACCACUGCACGAUGUCUCUGUGCACCAAAUACUGGCGAGAUGUCACCGUGUUGAAAAGUCCAAACAGUGUCUGUGAGUUAAAAUGGCCGCCAUCCAUUGUUCUCACUGUGCUUCAUCCAUUGUUCUCACCAUGUGCCUCUGAUACAGGAAAUGGUGGCCACCCAGUAACUCCACAGUAUGUCCCCAGAUGGUUCUUAAAGGGCCAGCAGCAGCACAACACAAAUCCCUUAUGCCCAAACCAUGUCUUUAAAGGGCAAUACAUCCCAGGGGCCAUAGUCACAUGGCAGGAGGCUGGCAGUCUUCUCCAAUGCCCAGUUGCGAGGUCAGUUUCGCCACAAACAGGUUUAUUUACAUCCAGUUAUCCCUAGUGUCCAAGUGUGAGCAGCAAUACUGAAAAUUGCCCAAAUAACUCCACAGCCUAAAACAGAUUAUAACAAAACAUUUAGACAGUCUGAUA